AGUGAACGCUGGCGGUAGGCCUAACACAUGCAAGUCGAACGGCAGCACAGUAAGAGCUUGCUCUUACGGGUGGCGAGUGGCGGACGGGUGAGGAAUACAUCGGAAUCUACUUUUUCGUGGGGGAUAACGUAGGGAAACUUACGCUAAUACCGCAUACGACCUACGGGUGAAAGCAGGGGAUCUUCGGACCUUGCGCGAUUGAAUGAGCCGAUGUCGGAUUAGCUAGUUGGCGGGGUAAAGGCCCACCAAGGCGACGAUCCGUAGCUGGUCUGAGAGGAUGAUGAGACACAAGGGAAAUGAGACAGGGUACAGACUCCAACGGGAGGCAGAAGUGGGGAAGAUGGGACAAUGGGCGGAAGGUUGAACCAGCCAUACCGCGUGGGUGAAGAAGGCCUUCGGGUUGUAACGCCCUUUUGUAGGGAAAGAAAAGCAGAAGGUAAAGAACCCGCUGUUCUGAAGGUACCAAAAGAAAAAGAACCGGCUAACUUCGUG
RNAcentral lists this ribosomal RNA (492 nucleotides) under uncultured bacterium. Its description in RNAcentral is "partial 16S ribosomal RNA". It matches the Rfam family "Bacterial small subunit ribosomal RNA", at positions 29 to 507 of the family's 1533-position model. The record is from RNAcentral.